AUAUCAAUAAGCGGAGGAAAAGAAACUAACAAGGAUUCCCCUAGUAACUGCGAGUGAAGAGGGAAAAGCUCAAAUUUAAAAUCUGGCAGCCUUUGGUUGUCCGAGUUGUAAUCUAGAGAAGCGUUAUCCGCGUCGGACCGUGUACAAGUCUCCUGGAAUGGAGCGUCAUAGAGGGUGAGAAUCCCGUCUUCGACACGGACUACCGGGGCUUUGUGAUGCGCUCUCAAAGAGUCGAGUUGUUUGGGAAUGCAGCUCAAAAUGGGUGGUAAAUUCCAUCUAAAGCUAAAUAUUGGCGAGAGACCGAUAGCGAACAAGUACCGUGAGGGAAAGAUGAAAAGAACUUUGGAAAGAGAGUUAAACAGUACGUGAAAUUGCUGAAAGGGAAACGCUUGAAGUCAGUCGCGUUGGCCGAGGAUCAGCCUUGCUUUUGCAUGGCUUACUUCGCGGUUCAACGGGUCAGCAUCAAUUUUGACCGUUGGAUAAAGAUAAGGGGAAUGUGGCAUCUUCGGAUGUGUUAUAGCCCUUUGUUGCAUGCAAUGGUUGGGAUUGAGGAACUCAGCACGCCGCAAGGCCGGGAAUUCGUUCCACGUUCGUGCUUAGGAUGCUGGCAUAAUGGCUUUAAUCGACCCGUCUUGAAACACGGACCAAGGAGUCUAACAUGCCUGCAAGUGUUUGGGUGUAAAACCCAUGCGCGUAAUGAAAGUGAUAAGUUGAGAUCCCUGUCGUGGGGAGCAUCGACGCCCGGACCUGACCUUUUGUGAAGGAUCCGCGGUAGAGCAUGUAUGUUGGGACCCGAAAGAUGGUGAACUAUGCCUGAAUAGGGUGAAGCCAGAGGAAACUCUGGUGGAGGCUCGUAGCGAUUCUGACGUGCAAAUCGAUCGUCAAAUUUGGGUAUAGGGGCGAAAGACUAAUCGAACCAUCUAGUAGCUGGUUCCUGC
Molecule: ribosomal RNA, 938 nt
Filed under: Phaeocollybia tenuis
Lineage: Eukaryota; Fungi; Basidiomycota; Agaricomycetes; Agaricales; Phaeocollybiaceae
Description: partial 28S ribosomal RNA
Rfam family: Eukaryotic large subunit ribosomal RNA
Source: RNAcentral